CGCUGCUUCAAAGCCAAAGUGGUGUUUUGAUGUGAAGUGGAAAUUUAGUUGUCGGAGAAGGCAGAUAAUUAGGAAGGUGGAUCCGAUGAUUACGUGGAGACCAUGGAAGCCUGUUGCUAUAAAGAAGGUGGAUCCGUAAAUGCCGUCUGAAAUGGAAAAUGAGGUAACA
Molecule: non-coding RNA, 169 nt
Organism: Myodes glareolus (Bank vole)
Lineage: Eukaryota; Metazoa; Chordata; Mammalia; Rodentia; Cricetidae
Source: RefSeq, a predicted model, not a curated record